AGGGAUAGCCGUAUCACCCUGUAGCCCAAGACUGGUUGCCCACUGAAGCUAAGCAGGGCUGAGCCUGGUCAGUACCUGGAUGGGAGACCUCCUGGGAAAACUAGGUUGCUGCUG
RNAcentral lists this ribosomal RNA (114 nucleotides) under Sinocyclocheilus rhinocerous. Lineage: Eukaryota; Metazoa; Chordata; Actinopteri; Cypriniformes; Cyprinidae. The record is from RNAcentral.